AUGUCUAUGUGGCUGAUGAACAAAACCUUCAUGGAGAAGCUGGAUAAACAUAGAAGGAGAUUCUUCUGGCAAGGGUGCAAUAAGAAACAGAGAUACCACUUGAUCAGAUGGAGAAGAAUUUGUAGAUCAAAAGAUAAGGGUGGGCUCGGAGUUAAAGACUUAUGCAAACAAAAUAUUAGUCUGAUGCUAAAGUGGUGGCGGAAACUAGACACCCAGAAAGGGAUCUAG
This 228-nucleotide ribosomal RNA is filed under the name Triticum aestivum (bread wheat). RNAcentral's name for it is "partial small subunit ribosomal RNA". The record is from RNAcentral. Lineage: Eukaryota; Viridiplantae; Streptophyta; Magnoliopsida; Poales; Poaceae.